RNAcentral lists this transfer RNA (74 nucleotides) under soil metagenome. It matches the Rfam family "tRNA". From Rfam's summary of the family: Transfer RNA (tRNA) molecules are approximately 80 nucleotides in length. Their secondary structure includes four short double-helical elements and three loops (D, anti-codon, and T loops). Further hydrogen bonds mediate the characteristic L-shaped molecular structure. tRNAs have two regions of fundamental functional importance: the anti-codon, which is responsible for specific mRNA codon recognition, and the 3' end, to which the tRNAs corresponding amino acid is attached (by aminoacyl-tRNA synthetases). tRNAs cope with the degeneracy of the genetic code in two manners: having more than one tRNA (with a specific anti-codon) for a particular amino acid; and 'wobble' base-pairing, i.e. permitting non-standard base-pairing at the 3rd anti-codon position. RNAcentral also lists the same sequence under 2 other names. The record is from RNAcentral.
GGGCCUGUAGCUCAGCUGGUUAGAGCACACGCUUGAUAAGCGUGGGGUCACUAGUUCGAAUCUAGUCAGGCCCA